UGAAAGUAAAUUGUUAUAUAGAUUAUUUAUAUAAUUAAACUCAAAACUAAGUUCCACGAAAAAUAGUGGUAGUUAAUAUCAGAAAUAAGUACAUAAUAAAAUACAUAUAAUAGUAGACAGGAAAGUUAGCGGAUUUUAGCAUAAGCCAUUCACUUAACUGAUUACAUUACAUCUUAGUAAUCUUACAUAAUUCUUAAACCCCUAAACAUUUGUUACAUCCACGCAGGAACACCAAUACCAAAUGCACUUAGGAACUUGACUUUCGUCAGUAGUGCAUAUAUAUGUUUGACAAUCUUCGUCACUGGUGCAGAACACAUAAUCUUUGAUGAUAAAUAAGAGUAAACUAGUAUUAUUAAGAAUGAAUGUAAGAUUAUGCAUAUAAUAAGAAAAUCAAUUUUAAAUAGAAGUGACAAAAAAAACUUACGAUGAGAGGAUACAACAACAAUUAGAGAAAGAAAUAUGAUAAAAACAUGAGCCAAUUUGAGAACUUCAAACAUAAUUUUUCUUCUUAAAAUGUAAUAAAUAUAAGAUUUUUCGAAGACUUAAUAAGUUAAUAACUCCCAUGCAUUGUUAAUUUCAUUUUAGUAGUUUUUAGUAUAUA
Molecule: long non-coding RNA, 601 nt
Filed under: Lathyrus oleraceus (garden pea)
Lineage: Eukaryota; Viridiplantae; Streptophyta; Magnoliopsida; Fabales; Fabaceae
Description: Pisum sativum (pea) long non-coding RNA (PSAT_LNC009029)
Source: RNAcentral